This 638-nucleotide ribosomal RNA is filed under the name Weissella minor. RNAcentral describes it as "bacterial SSU rRNA". It matches the Rfam family "Bacterial small subunit ribosomal RNA", at positions 65 to 673 of the family's 1533-position model. The record is from RNAcentral. Lineage: Bacteria; Bacillati; Bacillota; Bacilli; Lactobacillales; Lactobacillaceae.
ACUGAUAUGAAGAGCUUGCUCGGAUUUGAAGAUGAACAUUGCAAAGAGUGGCGAACGGGUGAGUAACACGUGGGAAACCUACCUCUUAGCGGGGGAUAACACUUGGAAACAAGUGCUAAUACCGCAUAAUACUGAUAACCGCAUGGUUAUCAGUUGAAAGAUGGUUCUGCUAUCACUAAGAGAUGGUCCCGCGGUGUAUUAGCUAGUUGGUAAGGUAAUGGCUUACCAAGGCAAUGAUACAUAGCCGAGUUGAGAGACUGAUCGGCCACAAUGGGACUGAGACACGGCCCAUACUCCUACGGGAGGCAGCAGUAGGGAAUCUUCCACAAUGGACGAAAGUCUGAUGGAGCAACGCCGCGUGUGUGAUGAAGGGUUUCGGCUCGUAAAACACUGUUGUAAGAGAAGAAUGACAUUGAGAGUAACUGUUCAGUGUGUGACGGUAUCUUACCAGAAAGGAACGGCUAAAUACGUGCCAGCAGCCGCGGUAAUACGUAUGUUCCAAGCGUUAUCCGGAUUUAUUGGGCGUAAAGCGAGCGCAGACGGUUGUUUAAGUCUGAAGUGAAAGCCCACAGCUUAACUGUGGAAGUGCUUUGGAAACUGGAUAACUUGAGUGCAGUAGAGGAGAGUGGAACUCCAUG